RNAcentral lists this long non-coding RNA (28634 nucleotides) under Pelobates cultripes (western spadefoot toad). Lineage: Eukaryota; Metazoa; Chordata; Amphibia; Anura; Pelobatidae. The record is from RNAcentral.
AAUAUCUAUUAAGGAGAUAUAUCCUCAAAGAAAACAUGCCCAAUCACAGACUUCCCAAUGCAACUCAAUGAGAAGGUGCUCCGGGCAAUAGCUGCCUCUUGAGUUUAUCUCCACUGAGCUAACCAAACCAGGAAGUAACAGAACUUGUUGUCUGAUUGACAGCAAGGGGGGUGUAACAAGGUUAAUCUACAAAAGUGUAAAUUUCUAUUGAAAUUUGCACGUUUUGUAAAAUGAUCAAAAAGGACUUACUUUUCAAAUAUUAAGCAUUACAGCAAGAUAAAGUGCUUUAGGUGUUUGGGGUGUUUCUUUAAUGCUACGUUUUAGGUGAUAGAUGCAGUUUGAUAAAUGCCCAAAAUGCUUUCUGGUAUAUUGAAGUGUUUUUGCAAUUUUAAUUUAUUUAAACUGCCUUCAAAGCCACACCUGCUGUAUUAGUUUGGAAUAUAAUAAUAAUGUUCUUCUCUUUUUCAGUUCUGGAGUUUUGGAGAGUGGUGGGAUGUCGUAGUCGAUGACAGGCUGCCAUAUUUAGACGGAAAACAUUUGUCUGCUAGACCAUCAACUGAAAAUGAAUUAUGGCCUUGCCUUUUGGAGAAAGCCUAUGCAAAGUAAUUUCUUAAUUCAUUGAGAAAAUGUUGGGGUCUUUUCAAUAAACCUGGUGCAUGACGCUUCUCCAUCACUGUUAGAUUUUGUUGGACUACAAAUCUCAGACAUUUCUGUCUACUAUGACUGAAUUAUAGAGCUGUAGUUCAACAGUCUGGAGGACACAGUUAGAUAUCUUUGAAUCAAUUCCUCAAUUUUUGUACACAGGUUGCAGAUGUGUAUAUCCAUAAAAAUAAAGUUAAAAUGUCCCAUAAGCAAAACAAUACUGUUAAGUUUUUGAAAACCAUGUUCUUCAUUUGUAUCAUCUUUAAAAAAAAUAUUUUUAAAAAUACUAAUCACAUAAUCAAAAACAGCAUGGCUUAUAGAAUCACAUAAACAGUAUAAAGGAGCCAUUUUGUUUAUUUACAAAUUUGUAAUAACUUGUUAAUAAACAAAAUUAAUAUUUUAUUAUAUUGUUUAGCUCUAUUAUUUUGUAAAUUGAGGUUUUUUUUUAUUUUAUUUAAUUUUUUUCCAUUGUGAAAAAAUGGUUGUUGAGUUCAAAUUCAACAGUUAGUGGCUCAGUUACCCAAUAACAUGAAUCUAUGUCAUCCACAUAAUGAGAUUGGUUUGUACACCAAGAAUAAUCAUCCAGAAAUUAAUCAGCCGGUAAUCAGCCGUGCAUUAACAGUAUUUUUACACACUUGGAAAAAACCCACAGGUUGCAAUAAAAAUAAUUUUUCCUGAAAAUGUACAUUUAGUCACUCUUUUUUUUCAGGCUCCUUGGAUCAUAUCAAAACUUGCAUUUUGGAGUGCCUGCAGAAGCCUUUACAAACUUUACCGGUGGACUGGCGAUGUCAUUUGAUUUGAAAAGUGAUAUUGAGCUGUCUGACCUGUUUCACAUGAUUAAAUAUGCGUGUCUAGAGACCGUCAUGACAUGCACCACGAAAAAGAAGGUAACAUAUUCAGAUAAAUGCACAUAGUAAAGAACUAUUGAUAAUAUCUGGUUCAGUGGUGGAGCUAAUAUAGAGAGGGCCCUGGUGCAAGAAAUGUUUUGCCCUGCCCCCUCCAGUGCAUACACAGACAGACUCACACACUGACACACUGACACAGUUAGUGUGUGUGUGUGUGUAUGUCAAUGAGUGCAUGUGUCUCUGAGAGUGUGUUCAUGUCAGUUUGUGUCUGUCAGUGAACAUGUGUGUUAGUUAAACAGUGUGUGAGAUAAUGACUGUCUUUCAGUGAGUGUAUAUCAGUGUGUAUGUAUCAGUGAGGGCAUGUUGUCUGUCAGUCUGUCCGUCCCCACUGUCAUCCCCACAUCCUGCCCCCCACACUUUCACCUUCAGGGCCGGACUGGCCCACCGGGAUACCGGGAAAUUUCCCGGUGGGCAGCGGAACCUGGGGGCCGGCUGCGUUCCUGGCUGGAGCCACCGGGCCGGGUGGCAGCUUCCCCGGUCCGGCGGCACUCCUGUCACUGCUGUGGCUGAUGGAGGAGGAGCAUGUCUCUGUACCAUGCUCCCUCGCGGUUCCAGGAACUGCGAGGGAGCAUGGUACAGAGCAUGUCUCUGUACCAUGCUCCCUCGCGGUUCCAGGAACCGCGAGGGAGCAUGGUACAGAGACAGGCUCCUCCUCCAUCGGCCACAGCAGUGACAGGAGCAGACUGGGCGGGUGGCCGGCGCGCGAGGGAGCACUCUCCCUGGAGUGCUUCCUCUUCAGCUCCCUCGCGCGCCGCACUGAUGCCGGAGCCGGAAGAUGACAUCAUCUUCCGGCUCCGGCAUCCCUAUGCGGCGCGCGAGGGAGCUGAAGAGGAAGCACUCUGGGGAGAGUGCUCCCUCGCACGCUGGCCGGCCGCCCGCCCAGACAGCCAGCCCGCCCGCCCAUUGACCGGCCGCCCGCCCAGUCAGCCGCCCGCCCGCCCAGUCAGCUGCCCGCCCAGUGACCGGCUGCCCGCCCAGACAGCCAGCCCGCCCGCCCAGUGACCGGCCGCACGCCCGCCCAGACAGCCGCCCGCCCAGUGACCGGCCGCCCAGGAGCCCAGCAGCACCACUGGACCCCAGGGAAUCCCCCCAGCACUCCAAAAGGUAAGGAGGCUGGGGGGAUUAAAUUUAAAAAAAAAAAUGUGUGUGUGUGUGUUAGUGUUAGAGUGUGUGAGUGUGUGUUAGUGUGUGUGUGUGUGUUAGUGUGUGUGUGUGUGUAAGUGUGUGUGUGUUAGUGUUUGUUUGUGUUAGUGCGUGUGUUAGUGUGUGUGUCUGCUAGUGAGUGUGUAACUGUGUGUGUCUGUUACUGAGUGUGUUUGAUGUCUGAUAGUGUGUGUUUGUCAGUGAAAGUGUAUGUUUUGUAAGUGAGUGUGUAUGUAUGUCUGUCGCUGAGUGUUUCUCUGUCAGUAAAUGUGUGUGUCUGUUAGCUAGUGUGUAUGCGUCUGUUCGUGAGAGUGUGUGUCUUCAGCAUUUACCUUUCUCCAGCGUUGGACUCCCCAGUGUCCGCCUCUCAGCUCCGAAUGCACAUGCGCGGCAAGAGGCGCGCGCGCAUUUAAACCGCCCAUAGGAAAGCAUUACUCAGUGCUUUCCUAUGGACGUUCGCGGAAACUCCUCUAGCAGCUGUCAAUGAGACAGCCACCAGAGGCUGGAUUAACCCUCUGAAACGGCUAUGUUUUCAGCUGCAGAGUUAAAACUAGAGGGACCUGGCACCCAGACCACUUCAUUGAGCUGAUGUGAUCUGGGUGUCUGUAGUGGUCCUUUAAGUGUGUGUGCAUACCGCGGUCGUGGGGUCGCAGCCCUGCAACCCCUGCGACCAGGUGCCCGCCGCCAUAUGUUGCGGCCCCGACCUGCGCCGAGUAAGCGCGGGGGGAGGGCCCAUGGAUCAAUUUUCGCACCGGGGCCCCAUGGGCCAUGUGUACGCCACUGCACACACACACCAUACACAUUCACACACUGCCCCCACACACACACACCAUACACAUUUACACACUGCCCACCCACACACUGAACCUUUCACACACAUUGCACCACUGCUCCUAUACCCUACUACAGCCCCAUAUCCCAGCAGACUCCAGGUAAGUUGUCAAACUGUUCUUAAACGGUUUGACGACUUACUCUGGGAGGGGGUGCCGACGCUCCUGGCACCAUAACCACUACACAGAGGAGUAGUGGUUAUUGUGCAUGGAAUAUUUCUUUAAAUAAUCUACAAGUGCCCCUCUCAGGCUCAGGCUCUGGAUCCGCCACUAGCAGAGCUGCCAUCAGAAAUUGUGGGGCCCCUGACACAGCUCAAGGUCUGGGCCCCACCGGUGCUUGCACCCGAGUCUGCCCAAAGUGCUGCGGCCCCCCCCCCGAGUCUGCCCACAGGAAUGCAGUGUCUGCAGGGCCGGUGCAAGGAUUUUUGCCGCCCUAGGCAAAAGUUAAGUUUGCCGCCCCCCAUGUGACAUCACAAUGCCCCACCCAUAUGAUCUGCCAUGUUAACUAACACCAGUGCUGCCGUGCCGCCGUGUUUACAUUAAAAGGCUUGCAGGGACAGGCUAGACACCAGAACCACUACAUUAAGCUGUAGUGGUUCUGGGGACUAUAGUGUCCCUUUAAUGUGAGGUAAAUUAGAGAUUAGUGCCACAAAUAAUAUACUAGAUUGCCUACUUACAACCAUAUGAGGAUAAUGAUGGGCUCUAGCUCCCGUCUGGCUCCACUGGUCUGGUGUAGAACAGGCUCUCUGGAGGCUGUUUGUAACUGUGGUCACAAAAAUCAAUGUUCUGGGAUCAACGGGAAGCAGCUCCAUUUUUUUGAGGGCCCUUUACACAGCUCAACGUCUGGGUCCCAGGAUCCACCUUCAUGUUCCACCAAUGAGUUUGUUCACAGGGGGUGGAGUGUGUGUGGGGGGUAUGUCCUGAUGUGUGUAAGGAAUGCAUUGUGUGAAUCUGUGUUUGUAUGUGUAAGGGCUGCAAGGUGAGUUUGUGUAUGUAUGGGAUGCAGUGUGUGCGUCUGUAAGGGAUGCAUUGAGUGUAAGGGGUGCAUUGUGUGUUGCUGUGUGUAAGGGAUGCAUUGCUUGUGUAUGUGUGUCUGUGUGUAAUGCAUUGUUUGUUUUUCUGUGUGCAAGGGGUGCAUUGUGUGUGUGAUGUAUGUCAAUCUCUCCCCCUCCCCCCUGCCAAUUUCCUUCUCCCCCCCUCCAAUUUCCUUCUUCUCCCCUCCUCUCCUUCUUCUCCCCCUCCCUCUCCAAUUUCCUUCUUCUCCCCUUCUCUCCAAUUUCCUUCUUCUCCCCCACCCUCCAACUUCCUUCUUCUCCCCNNNNNNNNNNNNNNNNNNNNNNNNNNNNNNNNNNNNNNNNNNNNNNNNNNNNNNNNNNNNNNNNNNNNNNNNNNNNNNNNNNNNNNNNNNNNNNNNNNNNUGACUGCUAUUCAAUCUAUAAAUGUAAAAAAAGUUUUUUGUUUUUAAAUCCAAGCUAUUGUGACACAGGAUCUAAUUAGUGGCACUUGUCAGCGUAUCCACUGUUAGCGUAACACACCCGCUUUAAGGACACUGACUGCUAUUCAAUCUAUAACAGUGAAAAAAGUUUUUUGUUUUUAAAUCUAAGCUAUUGUGACACCAGAUGUAAUUGGUGGCACUGACUGGGGAAAUGGGCACUGUGAGCCUGACACAGAAGCUGGCAGCAGUGGCAGACAACUAAGUGCAUUUACAUUAGAUAGAAAAAAAAAAUCCAAAAAAAGCAUACCCUUAUCCCUAACCUAGCUAUGCUUUUCCCUAUCUUAUGAACAGCAGCUACACUUUCCCUCCUCUUACUAAGCAUGCAGCUUGAGAAUGAAUCUAAAAUGGAUGCCUUCCAGAGGUGGGAGGGUCUGCUAGGGAGGGUGUGCUGCUAAUUGGCUGGAAUGUGUCUGCUGACUGUGAGGUACAGGGUCAAAGUUUACUCAAUGAUGACGAAUAGGGGGCGGGUCGAACCGCGCAUAUGUUCGCCCGCCGUGGCGAACGCGAACAUGCUAUGUUCGCCAGGAACCGUUCGCCGGCGAACCGUUCGGUACAUCACUAAUGACAUGUAUAUUAAUGUGUGUAUUGUGCUUAUGUAAUGAGCAGAUAUUGGCCCAAUCUUGUUGCUAGGUGCAUACUCCAGCACAAUAACAUAUUUAAAGUGAAGAGCACACCCACAGGACUUCAAAAUAAACAUUUUUUACAGUUGUGCCCUACAUACAUUCACCAUUUCAGUCCCAUUAACAAGCUUUCCUUAAUAUGUCAAGGUAGUUGGACUGAAACAUUGAUUACAUGCAAAGGCACGUCUGCUUAAAAUAAAUCUGCACUUUUGUUUAUUUUUAAGCCUAUGAGUGCGCUUUUUACGUUAAAGUACUUUUUAAUUUUAAGUUAUCUGUUCUAACUCUGUAUCUGCACACUAUGCUGGCGCGACGCAUUAUGGGGCUGGUAAAUAUUUUUUUUCCAGGGCUGCUUUUAAUUCCCAGUCUGGCCCUGUUCACCUUCCUACACACUGCCCUCAACACUGUCACCUUCCUACACACUGCCCCUAUACCGUCACCUUCCUACACACUGUCUCCCCAGUCCAACCCACAGUUAAGAGGCAGGGAGGGGGGGAUAAGCCCAAUUUAAUUUAAACAGCUCCCAGCACUUAUCCAACACUACAUGCACUACACAGACACUACUACAUACACAUCCACUACACAUCCACUACAUCCACUACACAUACAUUACAUCCACUAGACACACUGCAUCCACCACAAAAAUACUAGAUACACUACACACUGCAUUCACUACACAAACACAGACACUGCAUCCACUAUACACACACACACAAUAUAUUCAAUACACAUGCUGCAUACAAUACACACCAUAUCCACGAAAUUGAAAAGGGGGGAAGAAAAGACAUGAAAGGGAGGGGAACAGAGACAUAGAUGAAAGGGGGGAGGGAAAUAAAGACAUGGAUUUUACAAUCCAUGGGGUAGAUGCGAACUGAAUGGACAGUGUGGCUAUAUCUAAGGUGUGACACAUUUCCAACCUGGCUGAGACUGCAGUUUGCAAAGGGAUUAAGGUAAUGUGUAUGUGUAUGUGUAUGUAUAUAUACAUACACACACAUACAUACAUGUUUUAUAAAUGCCCCCAUACUUUGUCCCUGGCCCACCAUGUGCCCCCCCCCAGCCCCUCCCAAAUAUGAAUCCUAGAGACGCCACUGUUAGCAAGAAGUGGAUGACUCCGGUAGAACCAGCUGUGCAAGUUCUUAGAAUUUAAGAAAGGAGUCAGUGCUGCAGGAUUUUAUCAUUUCCAUUCUCAUCGUGAAAUCCCAAUAAAAUCCUGAGGGUGCAUUCUCAGGUUAGCCUGUCAUUUGAAAUUUACGUUAUGUAAAGGUAUGCAAUAUGAAACGCGUGGGAUUUAUUUACUAGAACGUGAAUAGAAAAGUGAGUUUAUCAAGUUUAUGCUGAAAUACAAUAGCUUAGAUAUUUUGUCCUAAACUCAGUGAAUUUGUUUAAUUCAUCACCGUUUCUUGCAUUAACCUGUGCCAAUUCUCUGGAAAUUUAGUUAAUAAAUAAAACAUUAAAAAAAAAACACCUAUAACUUUAUUGACCAUGAAUUAUAUGAUGCUCCAUUUUUUCCAAGCGACCUAACCCUUACAGCUCUCUCUAAUGGUUUAUUAGGAGACCAUGUAGCGACAGUUCAAUAUAAACUUGGGGUUGUACCCAGGGCCAGGAGACUAUUCCCUCUAAAGCCACACGAUAUGUAUGUGUUCAUUUCGAAUAAUCAGUCAUUCUAUUCAACCAGUGUAGAAUAUUGCAUAUUCCAUGUUUCUAUUGAUUAGAUAUGGAUGUGUGGAUUGACAUAAGUAACAGAUGGUCUAAGUCACAUGGUUUUCUUGUAUGAGAGCUCUGGAAUGUAAGUUGGGGGUUUUGUCCUUAUAUGGCUAGAGUUAUGCUCUGACAUCAGUAUGGGCACUUCUGUAUAGUAACUAAACAAAGGGACACAAUGUCUCUCUGUCUCUCUCGUGAUGUAACGAUGUAACUCUACCUUCAGAAGUCCAGCAAUUACCAUCUGCUGUUGAACGUCCAUUAUCCUGUAACAUCAUUUGUUGUUUUAUUAUGUAUCCGUAACUAAGAAUAAACCGUAUUAGUACUUUUCAUUAAUAUAGACAUAUAUUAAUGUAGCGAGCAUUUGGCCCAAGACUAUAUAUACAAAAGACGUAUAUAUCAAUCAACUGAAGAAAAGCAGAAGAAAAUAAGAAGAAUUAACAUUGACGAGCCAAUCAGAUCUUACAACCAGAAAGGAAAUGAUUGACUUGGGAUGGGUUUCUGUCAGAUGAGUUUAUGUCAAACAUUCCUAACCAAGUAAUUUAUUCAAAUUAAAAUGUUAAAACUUGUCUCUGCACCAGCGGCGGAACUAUUGGCAGUGCAGUGCAGCCCUUGAAGGCACACAUAAAUCCACAAAGCCCUUAAAGUGGGCCUUACAGUUAGUGCCACUUGAUGGGCAUCUCUGAUUAGGGGACCCCGUGGCUCUUUAGUAGCACACUGGGUCAGGUUCUUGUCAGAUAAUUAGCGGUGCUGGAAAGGAGAGAGUUCAUGUCACUUCUUCACAGCUUUCAGAGAGCCACGUGGUGAGCAAGAGGGGGAGAUACAGAGAGGAGAGGGACUGUUUCUGACAGAGCCUGGAGUCUCAGACUCCCAUCAGUCUUAGCCAGCCUGCUCUCACAUGCCACAGUCAACACUCACUGGAUCCCAGAGAAGCUACCCUCCUGCAUCAUAAAGGUAUAGGACUGUGGCUUAAAAAUAAAUUGUGUGAAUAUUAUAGAAAAUAUAAAUAUAGAAUUAUUUAUUUUUAUUGCUAUUCCUCAUUUUCCCUCUAAUGGUUACUUUUGUCCACUUGAUAUGUAAACUAAAUGGCAAAAAAAUACAUGUAUCCCUUUUGGGUGCUCAAAAAAUGUUUACACUAAUUGAACCAUUGCUCUGUGCAUUAUGUUAGCUCAGUUAUUAGUGAUGAUAUAGUGAGAUAUUUUAUACAACUUUUGCUUUAAGCUUGAAUUCUUGUAACAACGUUAUGCUGAUGUGAUCUCCGGAAUCACAGCUUUUUAUAUACGUUAAAUGAUGUAUGCCUUUCUCAUUUUUGAAAGUUUAAUUAAUAGAUGAAAAAAAUAACUUUUAGUUUUUUUAAUUGCAACUAAAUUUGUUGUGUAUAUUAAUGAUAUGCAAUUGAAAGAGCUGUUUUUAUUCUUUGUUUUGUUUUUCAGGAUGGAACAGAAAGAAACAGAAGUAACAGUAUCCCAUCCUUGGUGAGGCUGGACCACAUAUUACUUUACAAUUUAUUCUGACUGCAUUGAAAUAAAAUAAGUCAAAUACAGAGUUACCAGUAAUUUUAAUUUCCUGGCUAUUUAUCAUGGCAGCAUCACUUAUGGGUAGCUCCGCCACCAGGUGAGAUCAGGACAUAAAUUGACCAAUCAAAGAAACACUGUAUGCAUAAAAGGUCCCUCCUCCUUCCAUAUACCAGUCAAGUUUUAAAUAAAAAGAAAAAGAAGAGGUGGGAGAUUGAUGCUGCCAUAAUAAAUAGCUAGGAAAUGAAUUACAGGUAAAUCUGUAUUAAUUGUUUCCUUAUUCCUGAUAAUCAUGGCAGCAUUACACAUGGGUAGUACCCAAGCUGAAAAAAGUAAGGGAGGGAGAGUUAUUUAAAGGAUGAGAUUACAUAUAGUUUGCUGAAAAAAAAACCCAUGUUUUAUUUUUAUUAUGAGAGGAAAUUGAAGGCACGACUCCUUUGCCAAAAGAGGUUGAUGGAGUGAAUGACACAACCAGCUUGCAGUGCUUAAUGAAAGUCAUAGGUGAAGACGAGGUAUCGCUUAGAGGAACCUCUGUCCAAUUUGCCCAAGAAGUAGCCAAGGAUCUGGUGGAAUGAGCUUUGAUUUUCUCCAGAGGUAUCUUGUUGUUAUUUAGAUAUACAUCUAAGAUCACCACUGCAAUCCAUCUUCCUAAUGUUGAGGAAAAUAAUAAUUAUAAUAAUUUGCUAUUUUUAUAGCAUUUUUCUCCCUGUGAGACUCAAAGCACUUUACAAAAAUGCCGUUUCUGCUUUGCGAGAACCUGAAGGAGGAACGAGUAGCUUAUAAGAUUUUAAAAAUUUUGAUGGAACCGAUAAAUACUUGAUAAUGCAUUCUCUGACAUCCAAUUCUUGGAGCUUGAUCUCUACCAAGUUGGAAGAAGAUGGAAAAAAAGAAUGGGAGAGGUGAAAGUUAAAUGCUACUUUUGUAAGAUAAUUUUCUUUGGGCUACAGCAGCACUCUAGCAUUGGAAGAUGAGGUGAUGUGAUGGUUCGCCUGAGAGAGCUUGCAAUUCUGAAAUACGUUUUGCAGUUGAGAUGGCCACAAGGAAUACUGCUUUAUAUGUGAGGUGUUGUGUAGAAAUUUCUGAAAGAGGAGCAUAAGGCGGUUCAGUGAAUAAUUUAAAACCAUUGGCAAAUUCCAAGGUGGUGCCGAAAUUCUGGAUGGUGGAUGUAUUCUUAUGGCAGCUUUAAACAACCGACAUAUAAGUGGAUUAGAGGCCCAAGAGAAAUUGCACAUGGCUGAGAGAGCUGAGGAUUGGACUUUUAAGGUACUUAAACUAAGGCCUUUGUCCAAUCCUGCACGUAGGAACUCCAAUACCUGCAAGUGAGAAGGAUAUUGGUAAUCAAGGUGUUUACUUUUUACCUGCUUUUUAAAGGUGUCCCAUAUACAAUAAGGGCAAGAGGAGGUGGAAGGUUAUCUUGCUUUGAGCAGAGUAUCUAUAACUGAUUCUGAGAGGCAUUGAUGUUUGUGUGACCUCUUUUCAAGAGUCACGCCCCCAAGUUCGAGCAGGCAGGGUUGAGAUAGGUGGCUGGCCCUUGAAUAAGGAGAACUGGUAAGUGAGUUAGUCUCCAAGGCAGAGUUUGAGACAUUUUGAGAAGUAGUGGGCCAGAUGGGAAUGAUGGCUAUAAUAUUCUUCCCUUCUUUCCAAAUUUUCUUCAGAACUCUCAUGAUUAAUGGUAGGGGAAGAAACAUAUACGAAGUUAUAUCGAAGUUCCAGGUUUGGAAGAGCAUCUUGUCCCUGGGAUUGAGGGUCUGGUGUUAGUGAGAAGAAACUUAAGUGUUCUUCCUAUUGGCCAUAAGGUCAACCUGAGACAUGCCCCACUUCUCCGUCAGGACCGUAAAUAUUCUCAAGUUCAGAUACCAUUCUCCAGGGAGAAUGUGCGUUCUCCUGAGGUAGUCUGCUAACAGAUUUUCUUUCAGGUGGACUUGAGCUCAUGCCACUAGUAGGUUUUGUGUUGGAGGAUGAUGAUUGGAAACUUCUCCAAGAAGAAUUUCUAGAGUAUUCCUUCUCUGUGCGGUAUGUUCUAUGCUCUCAAAAGGACCGAUCAUGAAACCUUUAAUUUCUCCAUGUAGAUGGAUUCGAGGAUCUUUUUCCUUGAGGUAAGAGGAUUUUUUUGGAUUGCUUCAUCCAAUACUUUACCAAAAAGUAGGUCUCCUUGGAAUGGUAAAGAGCAUAGAGAGGAUUUACAAGAAUAGUCUGCUCCCCAUGAAUGUAGCCAUAAGGUACAUGGUACACAUGGGUAGGUGGACAAAAAAAAUUACUUUUUAGGAAAAGAAUAUUCCUAUCCAUCCAUCCAUAAUCUGUACAGAGGACGGAGCUACCCAUAAGUGAUGCUGCCAUGAUUAGCCAGGAAAUAAUGUUUACACUGAAGCCAUUACACCGGUGAAUCAGAUGAGCUGCUCUUCGAGAGGAAAUUGUCAUUUAUGUGGAAUUUAUUCACCUUACUUUUGGUGAACCAGGACACAAACAGAAAUAGUAAUACCUUUAAAAUAUAUGUGAACCAACUUUUAAUGGAGAUUUAAAGGAGCUUUUUCAUAGACAGCCCCUCCAUCUAAUUUGCACUGGGCCUGAUAAUAUGUAAAAUAUGAUCCCAGGGGUCCAGGUAUUGAAUAUUUGUGUUAUUUGUCUGAAUUUUAAGAUUUGAGGCCUCCUACACCACAGGUCUCUACAGUUGGGGUAAACAACCCUACAGUAUAUUUACUUGAGAUUUUAUAAACAGUUGUCAUUUCCCUCAUAAUGUGUUAUUUAAAGUUAAUAUUUGUGUAUUUGCAUGUAUUUUUUAUAUGUGUAGGCCAAUUAACAUUCUGAUGCUAGAAUCAGGAUGAUAAACCCCCAAAAACUGUUAAUGUAAAUUAUCUUAAUUGUAUAUAGAUAGUCAUACAAUAUCUUGAAAAUUGUAAACAAAAGCAAAUUGACAAUGUAAUAGUCAGAAUAAGAAGAUUUUAUGCACAACUGUAUCACAGAUUUCAUCUGAAGAUUUUAGAUCCAUUCUUUAAAUCUUCUUUUCCAAUAAUGCAGUUUUCAUUUUAUUUUAUUUUUUUAGUAUAAACAUAAGCUAAUGCGGAGGGGCAGUGUGCCUGUCAUUGUAAGUAUAGAACCUUUUCUAUAUUAUUUGUUAUAUAUAAAUAUAUUACAUUAUUCAUGUUAAAAUGUGAUACUUUUGCACUGAUGCUGUUCUAAGUUAACAUAAACCGCCCCAAAAUACAUUGAAUACAUAUGUCACAGAGAUGCAUGAUGUAGGCACUGUAACAUUUUGAGAUAUACUCAGAUUAAUGCCAAUCCAGCGUCACCAUGUCCUCAGCAUCGUGGCUAUUCCUCUUCCACCCUCCUCCAGCACUUCUCUGGUUUGCUAAUCCCACAGUCUUCUUUUGUUUUCCCUGCUAGACAACGCUUGUCCAAGCAGAAAAAAACAUCUGUGACGCAAAAACGCUGGCUUAGUUGCUAGCAUGCCGGCGUCUUAUUGGGCUGGUGCCAGUAAUUAGCUAGAAGUGUCGACUAGGGAGUUACCAUAGCAACUAUGGUUUGUGCGUUUUGUUUGCUAUGUGUGGAGAGCAGAAGGACGGCCUGUGGGAGGUCAUUUCUGUUUACAGUUAAUUCUUCGGCAAUGAGUCUAUGUUGAAGAAUUGACUACCAGGUGGGAGAAAUUUAUAUUAUAAAUAGUUUUUUCUCCCAAUCCAUACAUUUGCUUCAAAUCUGCUAGCACGAUGUAUAGAUGAAAUUGAACGUUCUUUCAGUAAUUUGUAGGUACCAUGAUAGGUCCCCAUUAACAGUCAUUUAUGUUAUGAGUCUCAAUUAUAUUCUACAGAAAUGUAAAACCAUAAAUAAAAUCAGUGAACCAUAUGUAUAGUAAUACAUACAGUGUUAUUCAAGGUGAAUUUCAAAUUUAAGGUCAAAAUAGCCGAACCAGAAAAAUUCUCUAAAUCAGCAAUGCAUGUUCUUCGAUUUCUUUUGCAUUACAUUUGAAAUUCACUUUGAUUCCUCAUGUAAGUGAAUAACCCAGAUAUAAAAAUAUUAGGCAGACAGCAAAUAAAAUAUUUUACCCGUGAUGAUACAUUUGGUUUCAGUCCAUUCCAGAGCUUGUAACAACAACGGGAUGAUUUUGUGAAAGGGCAGAUAAUGCUAAACUCAUUAAGGUCAAUUGAGCAGAUGACACAUUCAGUAUGGUGAGUGAGUGAUUGAGUGAGUUACACUCUAAUGCCAGCAUCAAAAUCCAUCUUCCCUAGUAUUGAAACAUAACUAAAACACAUAUAUGGACUUAUAUGGACACAUGCAUUAAGUGGAAGACACUUGACUUCGACUCAUCCAUUCCUUGCCAAUUAGUCAGCAGAACACAUACUAACAUUUUUAUACCAUCUGAUGUAAAACAAAGCAAACUUCAGAAAGCCUGUGCACCAUAUGUCCUUGUGAUACAGACCAUCCCAAAGGAGAAAGCAAGCCUCUAAAUAUGUUUAUUGAUUGACCACGAGAGUAUAUCAGAGAACCAGCUUUGAUAAUCUAAUUUCAAUUGACAGUCUGCGAAUUUCGAGUAGAUUUGACACUUACUUUUAUAUUUCUUGUUACUUUAGUCAAUUCCUGAAAAUGUUCACCUGGGGAAUGGAUUGGUGGAAAGCCAUGCAUAUUCUAUAGUUGGCACAGCACAGGUUUGUAAUGACACAAAAUAUGAGAACUAUAUUUACUUUUUCCAGUUCUAUAUUAAUAUCCUUCCUGAAAAACAAUCCUCAAAAAUUGCACCACAUAUUCAAAGUCAAGUCCUGCCAUUGAUAAAUUGAUAGACACCACAUCUGUUUUUCUCUAAUCCUCUGGUAUGAUUCCUGAAAAAUAAAAAAUAGUGGUUUGGCUGAUUCUAAACUAAACUCUAUAAGUACUCAUGGGUGAACACCAUCUGACCCUGGUCUUUGUUUAUAUUAAUGGGGCACUAUAAGCACCAAAACCACUACAGAGUGUUCCAGCAGUUGUAGUGCCAGGAGUCCCCAGGCACAGUCCUAUUGGCAUCAGUUCAUACUUCUUAGCUAAUGUAUUCCAUUCAAAGCUGAACAAAACUGAUGUUACCAUAGAAGGAGAACCUCCACUUUCGGAAUGACUGCAAAGAGGGGCAGUAUACAGGAGCCUGGGGAGCCCAAACAAGUGUGAAACCAAUAGAAAAUGAUUUGACUUUUAACAGUGGAUAGGGCCUGUGGAACCAUGGCACUACAACCACUACGGCACAAUGUAAUGUUUCAAUUACUUUUUUAACUUUUUAAAUAAUUUAACACGUUAUCCAGUGAACAAAUCACUUGUUUGCUAAACUGUAACAGUGAUUUCCCCAUUUGCUGUGGCUGCCGGUCCAUUUCCUGUGUUUGUUCUUAAUUUCUUCACUUGCGCCUUCAAUAUGGCGGCUCCAUCACGUCCUGUGACAUUUUUCCUUCACUGUCCGAUAUACCAAAGAUGACGGCACAUCCUGCCUAAAUGAUGUCUGUUCAUCAAGUUAUAUCGUACGGCCCUUCUUCUACUCUAUUGGCGAUAUUGACAGGCAGAAAUCACAAUUUGCACAGUGACGAGUGUCUCAGUCCCUCAUUCUUGGCUUUCCAUAUCGCUUGUGUAGUUGAAAUCACAGGGCGCCAUCAUUGAAGCUGGCAAAAGAAGAGCAAAGUUCCAAAAGUCAUCUAAUCAAGAGAGAAUAGGAAUAAACAGAUCAAAUUAAAAUUAAUUAAAUAGACGUAAGUAAACAACAACCAAAAAAAUGUAAAAAGAGCAAAUAAAAAAUCUAAAAUAUUUAUAAGGUGAAUAUGCAAAUGAGGCGGUAUCAAAAUAAGGAACUAUUAAAAAUAUAUAAAAAACUUUAUAUAUAAACUUAAUAAAAAUUAGAAAAAUAUAUAUAUUUUAAAAAUGAAAAAAGAAAAGUAGGUUCGUAGAAUAGUAUUCACCGAGGGUAAAGACCAAACCAUGAGCACUUCCCUCUUUCUACUACUAAUACCUCUCUCCCUAUACAACCAAGCAUUCUGAUACAACCAAGCUUUCUAUGUUUCUAAGGGAGAUUUACAUGCUAACAUACAAUACUUACUUGCAGUUUAAACUCCUCAAUUUAAGCUUUGCUGUGGCCACCUCCACGAGGCACCCAUAGUGGAUUGGUGGGGUGCUCAGUCCAAUAGGAAUCUGGUUUGGAUUCCAAAUCUACACAGAAUCAAAAAUACAGUUUUGCAUUUAACAGUUUAACAUUUAACAAUUUAACAGAGUCGGACCCACUGAUAUUGGGGUACUGAGACUUAACACAAUAUGGACAUAUGGUGGAAACGAAUUCCCAUAUUUAUUUGCUAAGCUAGGUGACUUUAAGUAGCCUUGUUAAUGUAAAGCUGUAUUUUUGUUUGUGUGUGCGCUGUAUUUUUAAUGUAUUUUGUAUAUGUUUUGGUCUUUACGGAAGCAUAACUGCUUAGAGAUGCAUGUUCUUGGUGUGCCCCCAAUUCCCAUUUAUUUUGUAUAGAUUUGGAAUCAAGACCAGAUUCCUAUUGGGCUGAGCACCCCACCCAUCCACUAUGGGUGCUGCUUUGGAGGUUUUUUUCUUGCACUCUUGAACUUUACUGAAGGCUUGUUGGUUCUGAGCAGAUACUUGAACGUCCCUCUGGAACUAUUGUCAGACUAGUCCUCUGGUCAUAGUAGCAUCCCACAAUUGGCAAUCAGGAGCAUUCACAGAUCUUUGCGAGGCUUUAGAUUGAUAAACUAUUGCAGAGCCCUCCACCCAGACGGAUAAUACAUAUUAUUCAACUAUAUCGUCAUCCAACAAAAAGGCCUUACACACCUACAGCAGAUGGACAUUAAGUCCACGCCAUGGUUGCAUCAUAGCUCCAUCUGUGUAUCAAUAGAUUCAAACUUGUUCUUUCCUACUCGGAUACACUGGAAGCUUAAUGAAUUGUUGUUGGCGGUUCCAGCGAUCCAGGGACAAGUGACACAACAGUUCACUUAUUUUUUCGAGGAGAAUGCCACUGAGGGGAUGUCAGAUGUGGCGCUUUGGGUGGCGCAUAAAGGUGUCCUCAGAGGACAUUUUAUAAAACUGUACACCAGUAAGAAGAAGGAAGCUGUUGGCACUAUAUAAGUGGCAAUAAUAAAUAAAUAAAUAAUAAACAGCAAAUAGCUUAAAUCUCCAAAUAUGUUUUACAUCUUGAGACUCUCCACAAGAGGACUCAGCUGGAAACUACAUAUAUAAAGUAAAUAAAUGCCUGAAAACAACUAUCAGACCUAUUGGAACAUAAAUACUUCCACACUCCGCAAUGUACGAACACAUUUUUCUAUCUACAAAGGGGGUGGUGACUUCUUGCUCACAUGUUGCAUGGACAGCAAAGUCAAGCACAGGUACAUAGCAUAUGAACGUCAUCGAAUCGCUUGACUCGAUUCCCGGUGGAGAGUGUGGGAGAGUUUUGGAGAUAUUAAGAAGAACUGUAUAAUAUUCCCUCACUCUCCUUUAGUGGCUCCCCAAGGCAAAGAGAGAUAGGGAACAAUACCUGAGAGGUUUCACCCCUGACACACUGACAACUAAAGAGGCACAGUCCUCAAUUGCAUCCUUGAACCUUAUAAAAAUAUAGCAAAACAAGCAAGUCAAACAGAGAGUUAAUUCGAGGAAGUCAGUCAAUCUUGCAUACACAUCUCUCUCAAAAAUCUUGGAGGCAGGCAGUAGCGUGAUAGGGCAGUAGUUAGAUGGCAAGUAGGGUCAAGGUUGGACAUUUUCAAAAUCAGGGUUGCAUGUUUGAAGGAUAAAGGAAAUAUGCCAGAGGAGAUGGAGAGUUUGAAUAUUUAGUGAGAGGCAGAGCAAGAGUGCCUAUGAGAUUCGAGGGAAUAGGAUCAGGAGAACAGGUGGCGGAGGGAAAGGACCGGAGCAGAGCAGAAACCUCUUUUGUUGUAGAAGGUGCAAAUGAACAUAUGACAGCUGAGAAGUGAGGUUGAUGGAAGUAUUGAUAGGGGAAGGAGAGAUGAGAGAUCUCUUCCUUGAUUGUAGAAUUUUCUCAGUGAAGUGAGUAGCAGAGUUUGUGGUGGUAAAGUUGGUAGGAGGAGAAGCAAAAAUAUAGUUAAAUAUGUGAAAUAGGCAUUUGGGUUUGUGGGAGAGGGUGGUUAUGAGGGUAUUAAAGUAGUUUUAUUUUGCAGAGAAAAGAGCCAAACUGUAGAAGAGCAGCAUGCAUUUAUAAAGGAGAAAGUCUAAUGUGGAGUGAGACUUUAUUCAGCAGCGUUUAGCAGUUCUGGAACAUUUUUGGAGGUAUCAAGUCAGCUUGGUGUGCCAGGGUUAUAAUUGGGGGUGCUUUCUGCAUUUAAAUGUAGGAGGUGCCAUGAUGUCUAGUUGAGAGUAGAAGGGAGAGUUGUAGAAGAAGGUUCCAGAGUUAGGGCAGGUGAGGUAUGAGAUGGGUAAAAGGAGAGUUUGGAUGUUGGUGGAGAAUCGUUGUAGGUCAAGACAGUGGAGGUUCUGCGAGGUUAAUGUGCCGAGGGUGGUGUAACUUGGGUGUGGAAUAUGCUGAUGUCAAAGCUCAGCAGAUGGUAGUCAGAUAUAGAAAUGAAACAUUGGAGAGUUUUACCUGCAGGGAUCCCUCUAUGUGUAUCUCUACAGGUAAAGAUAUAUAAAUAAAAUAUAGAAGUGUAAUCAUUUUGUUUAUGCAGCCAUAGCCACACCUUCCUGCAUGUGACUUGCACAUCCUUCCUAAACACUUCCUGUAAUGAGUCAUCUAGUAUUCAUAUUUAAUUUAUUGGAAAUUCUAUUUAAUGUAACACUUUUUAAAGUAAGCUACAUCUGAAUGAAAGUGAAACCAUUUUUUUAUAUGCAGGAUGUGUCAGUCACAGCCAGUGGAGGUGUGGCUAGGGCUGCAUAAAUAGAAACAAAAUGAUUUAACUCCUAAAUGGCAGAGAAUUGAGCAGUGAGACUGCAUAGACAUGAUUUAUACACUAUAACUGCUUCAUUAAGGUAUAGUUGUUUUGGUGACUUUAGUGUCCCCUUAAGGUAGAUAAAUGUAAUAAGAAAAUGAAAUAAGAAUAUGGUAUUUAUAAACAAAUAAAAUAGAACGUUGGCUAACAACAAACACUGUUAAAACAAAAAUGUACAACAAUGGUUCCUGAUAUAAUCGAGAGUUUUCUUCAACCCUGAAUGUAACAUGGGAGAUCUGUAUUAAGCAGUUACAAUUAGAAGGAAUCUAUAUGUAUAACAGACUGGUAGAUGGUUGUUUUACACACAUGCAAAAAAAAGUGAAACUAUUUUAUUCUUGCAAGAUUAUUUAAAAUCACUUGUACAAUUUACAAAAUACAAGGACUGAGUCACAACACAUGACGAUAUUGUAUUUUAACCCAGCACUGCCACAAUAUUUAUGUGGCCGAACUAAUAUUUUAUUUGUAAGAAACAAUGUCAUUGCUCAAGUCGUUUAUCUGCUUUACUGCGAACAUGCUCCUGCUGCUCGUCUACAAUUUAAAUACAUUUCAGGUCUUUAUUUAAAAAAAAAUUUGAAUGGCAGGAUAGUUGUUUGAAGCAGAUUAGCAGUGAAGCUAGUUAUUGAUGCAGAUAGUGGCACAUUUUUCUCCAAUGUUAAACUGAAACGAUAGAUUACGAUUUAUGUUAGGGGUACUUUGAUGCAGUGAUUGGCUAAACACAUUAAGGUCAGGUGGUGUGACUAAAUAUUCAUAUAUAUUGAUUACACUUCAAUAUCAAUUAUUAAAUGAUAUAUGUUAUCUGUUGUCUGUAAAUCUUGUUUUUUGGGGGGGUUUGGUUAUAUAUUUCAUCACAUUUCCAAAGUAUAUUUUAUGAACCAAUAUGAACUACUUUCUAAAGAAGGUGAUCUAACAUUGAAGUAACCAUCAAUCAGAAGCGUAUUGGGUGGACCUUACAUGAGCUGCUGAUAUGUUACUGUCGUAAUAUUGUAAUAGUUUAUAGAUUUUUCUGUAUGUACUUUGGGUGCCUUAACAUAGUGUGUAAUUGUAUAAAUAUCUUUUUUUCUGCUCUAUUUUGUUGUGUUAUCUCCACUAAAAAGACUGAUACAAACUAAUAACUUUUUCAUUUAAAAUGCUCUAGUUUGUAUAAAUUACCAAACAUUACAUGGGAAAUAAUACAUUAUUUAAAAAAAAUAAUAAUUUUAAAGAGUUUGUUACAUAAAUAUUAAUUUGUAAACUUGCAAUUCAUCUUAAUUUGGGGCGAUCGUAAAGAUUCCCAAACUCCAAAACGAAAUUUAGUUGAAUCAUUAUCCCAAACGGACCAAAUGAAUCGUGCAAACCUUUUCAUUUUGAGUCAUGAUUUAAAAUUCUGUUCAUAGUAUCAAACAAAAAAAGCCAAUUUUCUGGCCCUUUUGGUUCUUCUGUUUUUUUUCCCCAAUGUUUUCUGUUAGCGAUAAAUGGAGGAUCCAAACUGCUACAUGGCCGAAAUGUGGCCGUCUUAUUUAUUUUUAAAUUUUCAGACAAAGGUCUUUAGCUGAAAUUAUUUUUUUUCAUCAUGCACCAUCAAAUUAUUUGCACCAAAAAUGGUAGUGGUUGUAGUGCAUGGUUGUUGCGUGUUGUUUCACUUUGACAUAUGACAACUAUACUAUAAAUAUAAAAUUUACAAUAAAAUACAAUUAAAUAAAAUGGUCCAAAGUUCCAGACGUUGUUGGAGAGUACUAGUUAUCAGCUCAUUAUAAACCUGCAGAAUUGUAUUAUUCUUAAUGUCAUAGCAGUCUCUCUCUCUCUCUCUUUCCUUUCUGCCAAGAAUUAUUUGCUGUAUUUAUAACCAUCAAUCUAUGUAUCUACUAUAAGAAUAUUUUAUCUCUUUUUUUAGGUUCAUUUUAGAAACCAAUUGGUGAAUUUAAUUCACAUCUGGAACCCUUGGGGCUAUGGAGAAUGGACUGGAGCCUGGAGUGACACGUAAUAUUUAAAGCCUAAUACACUGACAUAUAAUUAGAAAUAUCUUACUUGCUCUUCUGCAUAUAUCAAUUGUUUGGGGAGAAGCAUGUCAAAGUCUGCUUAUAUUGUUAACUUGUGAUUUAUUAUGAUAUUUAUAAUAUCUAUUGAUAUAUGGGAAAAUAGAAUUAGCCUACUCAUGAGAAUAGGUACCCCUUAGCUGCUGUGAUUUAAGAUUUCCAUAAUGCAUAGCUGGUUGCAGGGCCAGAUUUACAUAGGGGCUACCAAGAAAGAUAACUGUGUGGGGAUAUUUAUGGGAUGAUAAUAUUAUACAGUUGAGAAUUGCCCACUAUUUCAAUUCCCUUAGAUCUUAGAGAUCAUUAUCAUGUAAGUGAAAUGUAUUCCAUACAAAUAACAUCACAAUUUGUUAUAAAAAAUAUAAUUUAUUGUGACAAUAUGAUAAAAUAAUAAUAAUAUGUAACAUGCGUGAUAAUAAUGAGUGAAUAUUUAGUAUAACGUUGUAUACAAUGUAUAACGUUGUAUACAGAAUCAACUGUCAAGACUUACAAGAUUUAUGAGGGUACUUCACAGACACAGAAAGCAAAACUUUACACAGCACAACGAAAAACCAAAAUCUUGGCUCACAGUCAGAUCAACUGAAUAACCCUUUCAAUGCUGGCUAGAUCCUCCUAGGUAUAUAAUAUCGUAUUUUCAUGUAAUUUUCAAUUAAAAUAACAUUGAAACCAGCUCAUUAAUCAUUUCCUGGAACCAUCCAAAAGAGUCAAAUCUACAGAUUCUAUAAGCUGAAUUUUAAUUUGCCUUAAAAGAUAUUUUAUCUUAAUUCAGAGCAAAUCAACACACAUGGAUAAAAACAGUGGUAUGCUAACACUUGGUAAGAUACCAGAACUAUGUAAUUAUCUGACUCCACCUGCAGAAUGGAGUGUUAUAACUACAUAUUCUUUAUUUAAUUAAGAUUCCUCAAUUAUUGAAAUCUGACCGUGAUUUAUCCAGUCAUAUAUCAUGCUAUUAGUACAUUUUUAAUUAAUUUAGAUUAAUUAAAUAAAACCAGCAUAAUUACCAGUUAUAAUGUAGAUGUUCUCAUCAGAUGAGUAGGUAGUCCCAGGAACUUGAAUGCGAGUAUGAUUGGUUGUAUGGAGGUGUGUAAGUAAUAGAGAAAAGUGAUGUUGGUUAGAAAGUAAUAGUACAAUUCUAAGUGUCAAGAAGUGUUUCUUGAGUUGUGUCCAAAAGAGUUUGAGAGUUGAGUGUUAGUCCCAGAGUGUCCUGAAUAUCUGUCCUGGAUCUCUCUGAAUUUCCGAAUCUGAAAGCCCAAACUCCCUUCUCUUCCCUUUGUCCUAAAUUUUAAAGAGCCAGACUCUCUGUACGUCAUUAGUUGACAAGGCCAAUAGGAAACUGUAGGUGUGUCUAAGCUAUCUAGUAUUAUUUAGUUUUUGGUCAAUAGAGGGCGCAAUUGCCUCAUCAAAAUUGUAUGUCCUCGAAAGAGUUAACUUAUUUUGAUGAAGAUUCUGACGUCAUUUGGCUUAUCUAAAAUGACUACCAUAACUUAAAUUUGCUGUCAGUUCAGAGCGUUUCUUUGGAUUUUCUCCAGACAGCGCGUCGACAAUUCCUGUUGUAAUUUCUAAAAUUGACAGUUCUAAACUCAAUUUCACACCUUACUUACAAUGGGACCUUGUAAAAUUUAGAAAGUAAAAUUAAUUACUGAGUCUUCUCUUUCACUAGUGUCUGUGUUUAAAAUUAUUUCUAUUCCAUUACAUUUAAACAGAGCAUUCCAUCCCCCUGCUUCACUGCUUAUCACUUGGCUUGUUCACAUAAGGCAUUCCUUAGCUCAGGCUAGUGGCUAGUUACAGAAAGGAAAGAAAUUCUGUGUCUGUCUUGCCUGAAGAUAGCAAAAUGGAGUCCAUUUUGCUCUGAGUGACUCUGGCAAUAUACACUUUUAAUUUCUGUUAGCACAAAAUGUCUGCCGAUAUAAAUAUACUGACAACUGAGAGCUUGGUUGGUGUCCCCACCUUCCAAACACAUAGAGUACAGCGCUCUACAAAUGUCUAGUGAAAACACACACGCCUCAAAAUUUAUUGGGGUUGUAUGUAAACAAAAUGUGAAAGAACAUAAAAUAGUGCAAUACUGUAUAUCAAUAGUAAAGUGACGUCGAUACAUUGAGUGAAAAUAAACUCAAAUUUUUUAGAGCCUUUUAUAUGGAUGUAGGCUCUAAACACUUCAGUUUCCGUGCCUUUAAGGUAGGCACCCGUAACCUUCUUGUGUUGGUAAGUCCCUUUUAUUUCUCACAAUGGUUCAUGCAAGGGUAAAAAAUAUAUAGGAAACUUCCAGGUGUAGUAUCUCAAGUUUUGAAUGAAUUUAAUCCAAAAUAGAGUAAAAAUAGGUGCUCACCUUUUUAGAGCCUUUUAGUAACUGGCUCUAAGUUUGAAGACUUUGUGUCAGUUUGCAGGGUGACACUACCCUCUCCGGAUACAGGAUACAAUGUGGAGAUGAAGAUAAAUGGAUUGUGUAGAAUUUAUUUCCAAAUAUAUUAAUAUUAAUAACAAUAAAAUCUAAAUAAAAAAUAAAAUAAAAUACAGUGAUAAAUAGUCCUCUUUAUCUUCUAUGUUACCAAGAUGCGUUAUACCUGCAAUUUUAGCAUUUUCUCAAUGUAUCUUUCCUGGUAAAAUAUUUUAUAAAUAAAUAAAUACAUUUUCAAUCGGUAUCUAUCUUCAUACCAUUUGAAAAAGUUGAAAUUGCCAAAACUUGAAAUACUAUACCUAGAAGUUUCCUAUAUAUUGUUCUCUUACAUGAACAAUUGUGAGAAAUAAAAGGGACUUACCAACACAAGAAGGGUACGGGUGCCUACCUUAAAGGCACAGAAGCUGAAGUGUUUAGAGCCUACAUCCAUAUAAAAGGCUCUAAAAAAUGUGAGUUUAUUUUCACUCAAUGUAUAGACGUCACUUUACUAUUGAUAUACAAUAUUGCACUAUUUUAUGUUCUUUCACUUUUUUUUUUAUUAAUCAGUUUUUAUUGAUGCAUGUCAAUAGUUAAAUUUGGGCUUGCAGGCCCGCAUUAAUAACAGAAUACAAGAUUACAUAGUAAAAGCAUCAGAUAUCCAAACAGAAUAUACAUAUGAGGUUAGAAUCAGUUACAGUUGCAAUAUCAGGUAACACGAGAUCGCAAGUGUCAGUCACUACCGUGUUCCUCCCCAGGGGGCACAUCGCUACAGCUCGUGAGAACCAUAGUUGACCAGAUCAGUCCACCGAGUGCUAGGGCGGUGCGGACAAAUUAAUAUGUAUCAGUACCUUAAAAAUGCGUGUCAACUAAUGGUUGGUGUCAAGAUUUCUCGUCGAAGAGUGUGAAAGUGAAGUGUGAUGUAUUGUGUUAGGGUAUGGCAUAACCCAUAGGGAAUCCGGUGUUGGGUGGUGGUAGUAAAGAGGUAUGGCACUGCGCAGCCAUUGUAGAUGGAAAGGGAAGAGGAUGGUAUUGGCUCGAUGAGGACACACGAUAGUGUGAGAGAGUCCCUCCAGCGAUAUGAACUUCCAAUCGUGGUGCCCUCGUUCGCACCUCGACUGCCCGCAUUUGGCGCAAUAGAGUCAGUGCGGGAGAGCCCUGCCUCUUCGUGGAGUUCCCAAAGGCCUAACUGGUCUGUCUAAUGACCGUGUUAUGUAUUGUCGGGUUGUGCAUGUCGCAAAUGGUGUGCGAAGGAAGCAGCUUAGCAGGUGUCGUGUAUUGGUGGAGGUGUGAGAUUCAUGCUGUCCAAGGUUCCUUGCGGUAGAAAUAAUGUUUCGUCGUCGUGGGUAAGGGGUGUGGGGGUGCGGGGUUCCUACAUGUGGUAGUCGGUGAGUCCUGCGCCUCCCUUACCAUCAAAUGUUUUGUAUGUCCGAUCAGUUCCCAGUCAGCCAUUAUUGUCACAUGUUGUAUGACCAGAGUCCCCAUGGAGAUCAGGCCAAUGUGUCGGAUAUCUAGCAACUGGCCGGGUGUGGAUAUCGCGCUGCAUCAGGUCUGCCUCAAUCCGCCCCCUCCCACACAUGGGGACAGUGGGAAUCCGAAGUCCACUACCUUUGCCUGCGAGGGCUCGCGACCCGUCGCCUUAUCGUAUAGUCUAAGUAGGGGCGGUGUGUGAGUGUAGACUAGCCAAUUAAUUGUGUGUAUGUAUGUCCCCCAAGGGCAUCUUUGUUAGUUCGAGCCAUCCGUUGUAAUGUCUUAUCCAGUCGGGGUGGUGUGGUCGGUUCGUGAGGUGUGGUGUCUGCGAUCAUUAGCUGCAUAGGGCGGCUGUAGGUCAUAAUGUAUGAAAUGGGUAUGUCGCGAGGGCUGCGCCGUCCCCCGGCCCCAAGCCCCCCCGCCGGGAUCCCCCUACGGCCGCGCACGGAAGGUGAACCACGGCGCCCAUAUAUCCACGUAUUUUGCCUCUCUGCCCGUCAAUUCCGCUUGGAGCGCCUCUGCCGCCCUGAUAUCCUCGACCCCAUGAAUCCACUCUUCCCUUGUGGGGAUAUCCGUUGUCUUCCAGCAUACCGGAAUGAGUGAUUUGGCCGCGUUCAAUAGAUGGCGCAGGACAGAUUUUUUGUAUGCAGACAAUGGUUGUGAGGAAAUGUGCAGUAAGGCUAAUUCCUCCGACCAUUUGGUAUCGUCUCCGAGGAUUAGGAGAACAUCUGAUUUGAUUCGAUUCCAGAACGGUGCGAUAAGUCUGCAUUCCCACCAGAUGUGCAAUAGAGUCCCAUUGUCUUCCUGGCAUCUCCAGCACGUUGGUGGGGUAGUGGGGAAGAUCCUGUGAAGUAGUACUGGUGUUCUAUACCACAUGGAGAUCAGUUUGUAAUUUACCUCUUGAUAACGGGAGCUAGAGGAGCUCUUGUGUUGCCAUAUCAGGGCUUUGUCCCAUUGCGUCGGAGUGAAAGUCUUGUCCAUGGCCCAUUCUCAGCGUCGCUGGAAGGUGUUGUUGUCCGAUGUGGUAUCAGUCAACAGGUAUUGAUAAAGGUUCGAGACAGUUUUCCCAAAAGACGCGCCGCGGGAGCAAAGGUCCUCAAACCACGUUAGUUCUCUCCGUAGUUUAUCCUUAUGAGGCAGAGAAUUGUAAUAAUGUUUUAGUUGCAUAUACCGGAGAAUCACCAUCGGAGAUCGUGGUCGGUCUUCCAUCAGCGUGUCUAGCGUCUUUAGGGUACAGUCCCGGGUGACUUUGUAUAUUUGGGAUAUAUUCCGCGUUCCCCAGGAAUGUCCAGGCUUCCAUAGGCAGCCCGCCCCCUAUACCGGGGUUGUGUGUAAUCGGCAGCAAGGGGCUCGGGGUCAGGGAGACCCUGGGUGUCUCCCUGAGGCUCUCCCACGCGAGCAGUGUUUGUUCCACCGGGCCCCUCGUCCUAUCUCCUGCUGCCCCUGGUCGCCCGUCUCCUCCACACCAUCACUUUUAGUUUCACUGCGUCUCCUUCCCGGUCCAGAAUCACACAUUGCUUGCUCGUGUCCAUUUCAUGCCAUUCCAGAAUCCGCUGUAGCGUCGCAGCUUGGUAAUAUUUUUUAAAGUCCAGCAGUGCUAGACCCCCUCUGUGUCUGGGCAUACAUAAUAAGUCGUGGCGUAGCCUGGAUCUUUCCCCUCUCCAUGUAUAUUGGAUAACAGACGACCUGAGUGUCGAGAAAAAUGUCAUCGGCAGGGCUACUGGAAUGGUCUGAAAUAGAUAAAGAACCCUCGGGAGGAUGUUCAUUUUAAGGACCGCUAUGCGGCAGUGCCACGUAAUGUGCAGGUAAGCCCAUCUCUUCAGAUCUGAUUCAAUUGACUGCAAGAGCGCUGCGAAGUUGAGUCGAUAUAUAUCUUGCGGGUCCGUGGGAAUCCAGAUGCCUAGAUACUUCAUCGCCCCUGCGCACCAACGAAAUGGGAAGAGCGGGCCCAGGGACUCGAAGUCUACCGCGGGUACAGUGAUAUUUAGUGCCUCACAUUUCGCCAGGUUUAGCUUAAACCCGGAUAUCCGGACAAAUUUGUCCAUAUCUGAAAGUAUGCAUGGUAGCGUGAUCCGUGGCUGGGAAAUAAAGAACAGGAGGUCGUCCGCAUAAGUGGCCACCUUAUGUUCCGUGCCUUGACAGGAAUAGCUGUGGAUGUCUGGGCGGUCCCGAAUUGCUUGUAGGAGUGGCUCCAGGGAGAGAGCGAACAGGAGUGGCGACAGGGGGCAUCCCUGCCUGGUGCCGUUUACGAUUCCAAAGCUCAUAGUCAGAGCUCCAUUAACACGUACCGACGCUCUCGUCGAGCUGUAUAGGGCAGAGAUCCACGCCAUAGUCCUCUGCCCUAUACCCAUGCACCGGAGCGUUUGGGUCAUGUAUGACCAAUCCACCCGGUCAAAUGCCUUCUCCGCGUCCGUGGAUAACAGCAGGAGGGGUUUCCAAUGUUUCCGUGCAUGGUGUUGUAUAGAAAACAGGCGUAGCGUACUGUCCCGAGCUUCUCGGCCCGGGAUAAAUCCCGUCUGGUCCACAUGAACUAGAUUCGGUAAUAUCCGUUGAAAUCUAGUCGCCAGGACUUUUGUCAGGAGUUUCGUGUCCACAUUCAGUAGGGAAAUUGGACGGUAACUGCCGCAUUCUUUCACAUUUUUUUCAUGUACAACCCCAAUAAAUUUUGAGGCGUGUGUGUUUUCACUAGACAUUUGUAGAGCACUGCACUCUAAGUGUUUGGAAGGUGAGGACACCAACCAAACUCUGUUAUCUUUCUUGGUGGUUUUAUAUAUUAUAGUGGGAAUUUGGAGUAUCCACAGAGUGUGUUCAGCAGCUUGGCUAUAAAUUAGUAACACAACUAAAAGCGCAGUUUUUUUCCACAUUAGUUGUUUUCUAUAUAUUAACAUAUUGCCUAGUUAAGUGGAAGCUCCAGGUUUACACAUUGCAAUAGGCCCAGGCUCUGUCUCUCUUUUUUUAUUUGUGAGUCUGUCUGUUCUUGAAGUGUUUCCCUGAAAGGCAGGUAGAGGGCACCACUCACAGUUAUAAUGCACGGACAGAUUUCAAAUUUGUCUCAGUGUUCUAUUUCAUAGAAACAACACUAGUCAUUUAAAUUAUAAAAUUGGAACUUCAGAUCCUAAACGGGAUUAGUAGCUACAUUUUAAUUCUAUUUACUAAUGAAUUUGGCACUAAUACCUAUACUCUGUGUUCAUCAGUUUAUUAUGGAUCUUUUGAGUCAAUUCGCAGCUUGGGAAUAUAAUAAUUUGUUUCUAAAUGCUAUGCAUUAUUACAUAUUUAAUGAUUUUUGGGUUUUUUUCCACUGACAGGUGUCCAUUUUGGAAGGAAGUGCCUGAAGCAGAAAGCCAGUCACUGCUCGUAAAGAGGGAAGACGGAAUGUUUUAGUGAGUUUGAGUUAAUAAACUGGCUGAUUGUGUAUUAAGUAUAUAAUGUGUAGACUUCGCUCAUAAUCUAACGUUUAAUAAUUAUCUACAUGUUAAUGAAACAAGAAAACACACAUAUAAUUACACCAAUGAUAAGUUAGUGAAAUGUGCUCAACUAUGAAAUAUUCCUUUAUCUAUCAGUAAUACAAUCACUAGCCAUACUAAAUACAGGAGCACAUUAAUUAUAUCAAAACACGUUUUUUAUGUUAGAAAAUAUUCCUUUAGGUAUAUAUACCAAUACAUACAAAUAAAGAUCUUAUGAACAUAAACAGAGAUAGCUGUAACGCUACAAUAAAACAUUAUGCUAAUACACAAGAGCCUGGAGUUGCUAGAAUGACAAGAACUUGGUAUGGAACCAGAAAACUAUGCAGGUUCAGGAAGACAUUAGACACCAUGGCGAGAAGCUGUCAGUGCUGAACCUGACGCCUAGGUGACUCACAGAUCCUGUACAAAUGCUAAAACGUUGUUCAGAUGGAGGGCUAUUUGUAACAACACUACAAUAAAUACAUUAUAACAGUCUUAGCCUGAGAUAAUGUAACACAUGAUAUUAUGUAUACAGAACAAAAGCUGUCACGUCAACAAGAAUUGUCAUUGGGUUGAGGGUUUUAUGUUCAUGCUUUUACAGGCCUUUUUAUUUACAUAAAUGUAUAUUUCUUUUAUAUUUGUAGUAUGUCUUUUGAAGACUUUGUUGCACACUUCUUUAAGUUGGUGAUCUGCAGCCCUUUACCAGACUUCUUGGAUUGGGAAUAUCAGCCUAAACAAUGGUACAGGCAAAUGUUCUGGAACACCUGGCCUAAAGGAAUCGUAAAUAAAAAUGGCGACAGGCAAGGUAAGAAGAAUAAUCAGACCUGCUGUUUAAGCUUAAAGAUUCUAUAUUCUUAAAAAUAACUUUUUUUUAAAGAUGAACAAUAUUCCUUUAACUCCAGUUCAGACUUCAUAUUUUUUAGUUUUGUGGACAGAAAUAUCAAAGUCACAAUAUAGUGUGAAUUUGUGGCAAAAUGGUGAUAUUCUUCUAUACCAACACAGUGGUGUUAAUAUGCUAUACAUUUACCAUAACCUUGAUUUGGCACUUUGGUUACUUGUCCUAGGCGAUUGAGAUCUAAGGGUCAGGUGUCUAUGGGAUUUUAGAUUAUCCAUCAGCUGACUAUUAUACAUCAACAAACAUAUGACAAGGGGUCAGAGCCUAAAGAUCAGACAAUGAUGUAAUUAGUAUCCUGGUGCAGAGAGUUUUAGAAAACAGUGUUAUAUUUUUAUAAUUAACAUAAUUUUGCAUCACAUUCCUCUGCUAUGAAUAACAAGAAAGUAUUAUGAAUAUUGACAAAAUCAUGACUUUACUUAUAUUAGAUUUGAUUUUCAAGAAUCCACAAUAUCUGAUACAAAUAAAUGACAGUGAUGAGGUGAAGAAAGGGUUCAAUGUGGUGAUAUCGCUCAUGCAACAUCCUGCAAACCAGAAGAAGUUCCACGGGGAAUGGCCAGCAGUAGCAUAUCAAAUUGUACCAGUAAGUCACAAAUAAAACUAUCGCUAUGUCUGUUAAGUCACCAGGUCUUACAGAGUUAGAGUUUCUGAUUGGAACCACCUCUUUUAGUUGCAGUUGAGAUAGCUACAUAUUCAGUCCCCAUGAUCUAAGACAGCGUUCUGCAAACUCUGGC